Molecule: ribosomal RNA, 818 nt
Filed under: uncultured bacterium
Lineage: Bacteria
Description: bacterial SSU rRNA
Rfam family: Bacterial small subunit ribosomal RNA
Source: RNAcentral
CCACUGAUAUGACGUGCUUGCACUGAAUUGACGUUGGAUUCCCAGUGAGCGGCGGACGGGUGAGUAACACGUGGGCAACCUGCCCUGAAGCGGGGGAUAACAUCUGGAAACAGGCGCUAAUACCGCAUAACAACGAAAACCACAUGGUUUUCGUUUCAAAGAUGGUUUCGGCUAUCACUUCAGGAUGGGCCCGCGGUGCAUUAGCUAGUUGGUAAGGUAACGGCUUACCAAGGCGAUGAUGCAUAGCCGAGUUGAGAGACUGAUCGGCCACAAUGGAACUGAGACACGGUCCAUACUCCUACGGGAGGCAGCAGUAGGGAAUCUUCCACAAUGGGCGCAAGCCUGAUGGAGCAACACCGCGUGAGUGAAGAAGGGUUUCGGCUCGUAAAGCUCUGUUGUUGGAGAAGAACGUGCGUGAGAGUAACUGUUCACGCAGUGACGGUAUCCAACCAGAAAGUCACGGCUAACUACGUGCCAGCAGCCGCGGUAAUACGUAGGUGGCAAGCGUUAUCCGGAUUUAUUGGGCGUAAAGCGAGCGCAGGCGGUUGCUUAGGUCUGAUGUGAAAGCCUUCGGCUUAACCGAAGAAGUGCAUCGGAAACCGGGCGACUUGAGUGCAGAAGAGGACAGUGGAACUCCAUGUGUAGCGGUGGAAUGCGUAGAUAUAUGGAAGAACACCAGUGGCGAAGGCGGCUGUCUGGUCUGCAACUGACGCUGAGGCUCGAAAGCAUGGGUAGCGAACAGGAUUAGAUACCCUGGUAGUCCAUGCCGUGAACGAUGAGUGCUAGGUGUUGGAGGGUUUCCGCCCUUCAGUGCCGGA